RNAcentral lists this ribosomal RNA (481 nucleotides) under uncultured bacterium. RNAcentral describes it as "partial 16S ribosomal RNA". It matches the Rfam family "Bacterial small subunit ribosomal RNA", at positions 28 to 507 of the family's 1533-position model. The record is from RNAcentral.
GAUGAACGCUGGCGGCGUGCUUAACACAUGCAAGUCGAACGAAGCAUUUAGGACAGAUUACUUCGGUUUGAAGUUCUUUAUGACUGAGUGGCGGACGGGUGAGUAACGCGUGGGUAACCUGCCUUGUACUGGGGGAUAGCAGCUGGAAACGGCUGGUAAUACCGCAUAAGCGCACAAUGUUGCAUGACAUGGUGUGAAAAACUCCGGUGGUAUAAGAUGGACCCGCGUCUGAUUAGCUAGUUGGUGAGAUAACAGCCCACCAAGGCGACGAUCAGUAGCCGACCUGAGAGGGUGACCGGCCACAGUGGGACUGAGACACGGCCCAGACUCCUACGGGAGGCAGCAGUGGGGAAUAUUGCACAAUGGAGGAAACUCUGAUGCAGCGACGCCGCGUGAGUGAAGAAGUAAUUCGUUAUGUAAAGCUCUAUCAGCAGGGAAGAUAGUGACGGUACCUGACUAAGAAGCUCCGGCUAAAUACGUG